UCCUCUUAGCUCAGUUGGUAAAGAAUCUGCCUGCAGUGCAGGAGACCUGGGUUCAAUUCCUGGAUCAGGAA
This 71-nucleotide transfer RNA is filed under the name Bos taurus (domestic cattle). It matches the Rfam family "tRNA". Rfam says of the family: Transfer RNA (tRNA) molecules are approximately 80 nucleotides in length. RNAcentral also lists the same sequence under 2 other names. The record is from Rfam by way of RNAcentral. Lineage: Eukaryota; Metazoa; Chordata; Mammalia; Artiodactyla; Bovidae.